Molecule: ribosomal RNA, 198 nt
Filed under: uncultured bacterium
Lineage: Bacteria
Description: partial 16S ribosomal RNA
Rfam family: Bacterial small subunit ribosomal RNA
Source: RNAcentral
AUUACUCCUACGGGAGGCAGCAGUAAGGAAUAUUGGUCAAUGGAGGGAACUCUGAACCAGCCAUCCCGCGUGCAGGAUGAAGGGGCUCUGCCCUGUAAACUGCUUUUGAAUGGGACGAAAAAGCCUCACUUGUGAGGAACUGACGGUACCAUUAGAAUAAGCACCGGCUAACUCCGUGCCAGCAGCCGCGGUAAUAAU